RNAcentral lists this ribosomal RNA (387 nucleotides) under uncultured bacterium. RNAcentral's name for it is "bacterial SSU rRNA". It matches the Rfam family "Bacterial small subunit ribosomal RNA", at positions 30 to 418 of the family's 1533-position model. The record is from RNAcentral.
AUUGAACGCUGGCGGCAUGCUUUACACAUGCAAGUCGAACGGUAACAGGGACUUCGGUCUGCUGACGAGUGGCGAACGGGUGAGUAACAUAUCGGAACGUGCCCAGUAAUGGGGGAUAGCUCGGCGAAAGCCGGAUUAAUACCGCAUACGCCCUGAGGGGGAAAGUGGGGGAUCUUCGGACCUCACGUUAUUGGAGCGGCCGAUAUCGGAUUAGCUAGUUGGUGGGGUAAAGGCCUACAAGGCGACGAUCCGUAGCUGGUCUGAGAGGAUGAUCCGCCACACUGGAACUGAGACACGGUCCAGACUCCUACGGGAGGCAGCAGUGGGGAAUUUUGGACAAUGGGCGCAAGCCUGAUCCAGCCAUGCCGCGUGAGUGAAGAAGGCCUU